This 62-nucleotide ribosomal RNA is filed under the name uncultured bacterium. RNAcentral's name for it is "partial 16S ribosomal RNA". The record is from RNAcentral.
UGGCCUUGACAUUGAUAGAACACAGUAGAGAUACAGUGGUGCCCUUCGGGGAGCUUGAAAAC